AACUCCUUGAUCCUGCCAGAGGCCAUUGCUAUCAGGGUUUGACUAAGCCAUGCGAGUCGAGAGGUGUAUGACCUCGCCAUACUGCUCAGUGGCACGUGGUUUUCCUGCCCUAAGGUGGAGAAUACUCCCGGGAAACUGGGGCUAAUGCUCCAUAGUGGAUAUGUCCUGGAAUGGUAUAUCAUCGAAAGAUCCGUCGCCUUAGGAUGGNNCUGCGUCCGAUUAGGUUGUUGGCGGGGUAACGGCCCACCAAGCCNNNUAUCGGUACGGGUUGUGGGAGCAAGAUCCCGGAGAUGGAUUCUGAGACAUGAAUCCAGGCCCUACGGGGCGCAGCAGGCGCNCAAACUUUACAAUGCGAGCAAUCGUGAUAAGGAAACCCUGAGUGCCUGUCGAUGCAGGCNGUUCAUAUAUCUAAAUCAUAUGUGAAGAAAGGGCAGGGCAAGACCNGUGCCAGCCGCCGCGGUAAUACCGGCUGCUCGAGUGAUGGCNNCUAUUACUGGGUUUAAAGCGUCCGUAGCUUGACUGUUAGGUCUCUUGGGAAAUCUUCGCGCUCAACGUGAAGGCGUCUAAGAGAUACCGGCAGNCUUGGAACUGGGAGAGGUAAACCGUACUUCGGGGGUAGGAGUGAAAUCUUGUAAUCCUCGAGGGACGACCUAUGGCGAAGGCAGUUUACNAGNACAGCUUCGACAGUGAGGGACNNAAGCUGGGGGAGCAAACGGGAUUAGAUACCCCGGUAGUCCCAGCCGUAAACAAUGUGCGUUAGGUGUGUCGGUAACCACGUGUAACUGAUGCGCCGAAGAGAAAUCGUGAAACCCACCACCUGGGAAGUACGGCCGCAAGGCC
This 840-nucleotide ribosomal RNA is filed under the name uncultured methanogenic archaeon. RNAcentral describes it as "bacterial SSU rRNA". It matches the Rfam family "Archaeal small subunit ribosomal RNA", at positions 1 to 850 of the family's 1478-position model. Lineage: Archaea; Methanobacteriati; Methanobacteriota. The record is from RNAcentral.